AUUUUUCUAGUAUAUAAGUACAUUUGACUUCCAAUCAAAAAGUUUGAAUCAUCAAGAAAAAUA
RNAcentral lists this transfer RNA (63 nucleotides) under Tetrix japonica. Its description in RNAcentral is "tRNA-Gly". Lineage: Eukaryota; Metazoa; Arthropoda; Insecta; Orthoptera; Tetrigidae. The record is from RNAcentral. RNAcentral also lists the same sequence under 1 other name.